GACGAACGCUGGCGGCGUGCUUAACACAUGCAAGUCGAACGGAAAGGCCCUGCUUUUGUGGGGUGCUCGAGUGGCGAACGGGUGAGUAACACGUGAGUAACCUGCCCUUGACUUUGGGAUAACUUCAGGAAACUGGGGCUAAUACCGGAUAGGAGCUCCUGCUGCAUGGUGGGGGUUGGAAAGUUUCGGCGGUUGGGGAUGGACUCGCGGCUUAUCAGCUUGUUGGUGGGGUAGUGGCUUACCAAGGCUUUGACGGGUAGCCGGCCUGAGAGGGUGACCGGCCACAUUGGGACUGAGAUACGGCCCAGACUCCUACGGGAGGCAGCAGUGGGGAAUAUUGCACAAUGGGCGGAAGCCUGAUGCAGCAACGCCGCGUGCGGGAUGACGGCCUUCGGGUUGUAAACCGCUUUCGCCUGUGACCAAGCGUGAAUGACGGUAAUGGGUAAAGAAGCACCGGCUAACUACGUGGCAGCAGCCGCGGUGAUACGUAAGGCGCGAGCGUUGUCCGGAUUUAUUGGGCGUAAGGGCUCGUAGGUGGUUGAUCGCGUCGGAAGUGUAAUCUUGGGGCUUAACCCUGAGUGUGCUUUCGAUACGGGUUGACUUGAGGAAGGUAGGGGAGAAUGGAAUUCCUGGUGGAGCGGUGGAAUGCGCAGAUAUCAGGAGGAACACCAGUGGCGAAGGCGGUUCUCUAGGCCUUUCCUGACGCUGAGGAGCGAAAGCGUGGGGAGCGAACAGGCUUAGAUACCCUGGUAGUCCACGCUGUAAACGGUGGGUACUAGGUGUGGGGUCCAUUCCACGGGUUCCGUGCCGUAGCUAACACUUUAAGUACCCCGCCUGGGGAGUACGGCCGCAAGGCUAAAACUCAAAGGAAUUGACGGGGCCCCGCACAAGCGGCGGAGCAUGCGGAUUAAUUCGAUGCAACGCGUAGAACCUUACCUGGGUUUGACAUGGAUCGGGAGUGCUCAGAGAUGGGUGUGCCUCUUUUGGGGUCGGUACACAGGUGGUGCAUGGCUGUCGUCAGCUCGUGUCGUGAGAUGUUGGGUUAAGUCCCGCAACGAGCGCAACCCUUGUUCACUGUUGCCAGCACGUUAUGGUGGGGACUCAGUGGAGACCGCCGGGGUCAACUCGGAGGAAGGUGGGGAUGACGUCAAGUCAUCAUGCCCCUUAUGUCCAGGGCUUCACGCAUGCUACAAUGGCUGGUACAGAGAGUGGCGAGCCUGUAAGGGUGAGCGAAUCUCGGAAAGCCGGUCUCAGUUCGGAUUGGGGUCUGCAACUCGACCUCAUGAAGUCGGAGUCGCUAGUAAUCGCAGAUCAGCAACGCUGCGGUGAAUACGUUCCCGGG
This 1342-nucleotide ribosomal RNA is filed under the name uncultured bacterium. RNAcentral's name for it is "16S ribosomal RNA". It matches the Rfam family "Bacterial small subunit ribosomal RNA", at positions 28 to 1378 of the family's 1533-position model. The record is from RNAcentral.